GUAACCACCAUGGGGUAGGAAGCCCAGAAAUUUCUCCGUCACUGAAAAGGAAGACUGGAAACGUGAGUGGCUGCUCGCUGUUCCGCGUGUCUCCCGCCUAGCACUCUGCAUACCUGCUGUUAGUACUCAGGCUUCUGUACCGGCCUCUCCCUGGGGUUCUGACAGGAUGCGCCCUCAGCUGCAGCCACUACGAGGCCACCUGUGCACACUCACUGUCAUGAAACCUCUGGACAUCUUUUCUCCCCCAUUCUCUUCGCUAGAGCCUCAGAGGAAGGGGUGCCAGAAGACCCAGCAGCCAUCCUGUUUGUAAAGAUGAAAAGCUCGCACUAAAUGUGACAGAACAGAAAGAUGCGCCUCAGUCCCUGAUAACUUCAUGAGGAAGCAUGGAGACAGCCCUGGACUCCCUUCCUCCGGCUUCGUAAUGUGAGAGAAUAAAAACGAUCAUUAGACAAGCCUUCAGCAGUCAGGUCCCACACAGCCGCCAGCCCAUACCUCAGCCUCAUCGGCAGAAACCAUGCGGAGAAGCUCAGGGGACAACACAAAGCUGGGAAAGGACGAAUUCAUUGUUCAUCAUUAACAUCUUUUCAACAACAACUCCAAACAGGUCAGGGAUGCAAGCAGGUGCAGGUUACAGUCAGACGACGAGAAAGAAAGGGAACCACAUGAAAGCCCGGCGGAAAGCCAGCAACCAGGUGACGCCAGGGUAUCUAGGUCAGAGACCCUGCACAUGGCUUGGUCCAUGCCUCUGAUGGGAAGAUGCUCCCCUGUACCUCUUCCAGGUUGCGGAACUCCUGACGCAGGGCAGUCUUCAGAUCCAUACACUCUCUCCCGCAUCUCAGCGCUACCAGACAUUCCUUGGCUAAGUGAGGGACCUAGUCAGAGGACACAGGUUCUUAGUGGAGGUGUUUGUGAGAACCGUCCUGAAAGGCACUGACGCUUCCCAGCUCCGGCACAGGGGGAGUUGGCCACAUGCGAAUGUCCCCGUCCUUGGCCAGGGGCUCCCAAGAGCUCCAUGCUUCCAAGAUCCACUUCUCACAGCAGUUGAUCAAGCCGAGAGGGCUUUAGCAGGGUUCUCAGUGCCCCCUGCUUAAUCACCUAGUCCCACGCUGUACACUCUCGGGAGGCAGUCAUUUAGCCUCUUCAAGUCUCAGUGUUCCUGUCUGAAAAAUGGUUCCAGUAACAGUACCCCCUCCCAGGGCAGGCAAGGGAGGGAAUCAAUAGUUACAGAAGGUUUGGAAUAUCCUGAAUGUUCAAGAUAUGUCAUUAAUUAAUAGUGUAAUUAGUGCUAUUAAUGGCAUUAAGUUGAGUACA
Mesocricetus auratus (golden hamster) is the source of this 1311-nucleotide long non-coding RNA. RefSeq lists it as uncharacterized. The record is from RefSeq and is a predicted model, not a curated record. NCBI's taxonomy places the organism in Eukaryota, Metazoa, Chordata, Mammalia, Rodentia, Cricetidae. The transcript has 3 exons.